CCCAUGGAAAUAUAAAUCCUGGAAACGUGAGUUCUUUCAUGUGGUUGGAGUCACUUCUCUGAUUCUGAGAAGCUACUUGAAAAGUAAAAUAUAAAUAGAGAUUUUCUUUUUCUGUCUGCCCCUGAGAAUUCUGUUUCCAAAGGUUUGGGUGGAGUGGUGGGAUGGCUUUGAUGGGCCACCAGGUUUGGGGACCACUGCCAUAGACUACAGGGCCAAAGAGCAUUUCAAGGAAGUGUGUUUUGGGUUUUAGAAAACUCGGCCUGGUGGCUGAUUGAUGGGGUAGAGAUAGGGGUGGCUGGGUCUUGAGAAGUGAUGGCAGCCUGAGCUAUGGCCCUCCUGAGGCUUCCUGUGUAUGACGUACCCGCCACCCUUCCUGUCCUGCCAGCACCCGCCAUCUGUCCUGCCACUUUGCAUUCCCAUCGUCUCCCUGGGAAGUGAGUGUUCUCCCUGGCAGCAAGGUAUCUUCACUUGAAUUACCACUGUCUGUGGUUGAAGGAAGAUUAAAAAAAAACAAAAAACAGCAGGUUUAUCUUUCAUCAGGGCGCCUUCUCUGGAAGAUGGGGACAAAGCCAAGGCCAUGCGGACCGACUCCAUGCUUUGGAAUCCUGCUAGUUUCUAACUUCUGUAUCUUAUCAGAAAGUCAGGAAAUUGCUAAAGCAAAUACCUGCUUUUUGCAUUAGGUUGGGCGCAGCUUGAGUUUUUCAAAAGAGGAGACUGGUUCCUUCCUUAAUUGAAAGGCUUCUAUAUUUCCCUACUUUUUAGUAAACACUGAAAAGAAAUUCGGAUGCUGCUCUGCUUACAAAAUGUGAUUUAAAAUGUGUCCUUAAUUAAAGCUGAGAGGAGGCAAAUCCUAGCAGGGUUCUUUUUCCUCUUAGAAAUGUAUCCUAUGCUCUAAACAGGAGGGACAAAAUAGAACAAUUACUGGGCAUAAUAAAAGGAAUUACCUCUAAAUCUACCCAGCCUCCACCCCCACCACUCACGCCACCUCCCUUUUUAAUGUAAAUGCGGGCAAUACCAGGAAAUGAGCCGGGCACAGUAUUUGCUGUCUUCAUAUCUCCACUCUGCCUAUUUGGAGUCUUGGGUAAACAUGCCCCCAGCCACAGAGCUCGCUGUGUUUGAGUGCUGCAGCCUCUGCCAUCAGGCACCUCCCCUGUAAAUUCUGAUUAAUAUCUCUCAAAUCCAUUGUAAUCUUUUGGAGUCAAAGAAAAAAGACACUGUACCAGAACUUAAGACAGUAUGUGCCUUACACAGGAAAAGCUUCAAUACAUCAUUCUUUUCCAAACAGCAGGAGAAAACUUGUUUCAAGGGUCAUCUCACUCUGUUCAUGGAUACUUUGACAUGUAAGUCUCAAAUACACACACACACACACACACACACGCAAACACACACUAGGAAGCUGUAUCCAGUGUCAGUAUAGUAUGUGCUAUUAUUUGACAUAUAAUCCUUCUGCUCUAAGCUACAGUGAUACAUGUGUCACAUAUGAACCAUGCCCCAUAAUAUGGAGUAUUACACAUCAUGCUACCAUGUGUACUAUUAAUAACUAUAUUCCAUUCAAAAUGCUAAUUGUCAUUUUUCAGAGUCCAGGCACUUGUUUUAGAAGAACAAGGCCAGGGCUCGCAUUGUUCUGACAGUGUGGCCAGCUGCUGGCUUUGCCACAAUGAGACACAUUGUUGGGUAAAUGGAGUCCCUCAGGUGAAUGUAAUUAUGCAAAUCCUUCCCUAACUACCAGCAUUGGCUUGGCCCUCUCCCCGGGGCCUCCCACCAGUGGGAACACUGUCACAUUUCAUUAGGGGAGGCCUUGCUUGUUUGCUGGGAGUGUCCCCCCACGGUUUCAGGCCUGAUGGCCACAACCUGUUGCCGGCCCUGGGCCCACUAAGGAGCUCCUAGAAGACCAAAACCUUUUCACCAGCUGACGCAUUUCUCCACAGAGUGUCAAACACUGGCAAACAUACCCUAACGUGGUGUGUGUUUACACCCCCGCCCCCCGGACUCAGGGGAGACCAGCCAGCACACAGGUAAUUCUAAAGCCAGAGGCCAGAGGGGAAUGAGGAGGCUCCUUUUGGAAAGAUACCAAAAGUUAUGUAGACCCACAGUCAUGUGUAAUGCGUUCGUGGCACACACACACACACACACACACACACACACACACACACACACAGGGUUACUCUUCUUCAUUUACUCCAGAACAAUCCUCUGUGGGGACUGAUGUUUAGCACCCCCGAAUCCACGGACAGGAGAAAACUUAGCUACCUCUGCUUAUUUAUUGACACACCUAGAAAUAGGAAAACUGGGAAAAUAGAUCUCUUGAAAACCCCACCUUUUAAAAUUUACAUGAGUCACUCAUCGUGCAGGGGUCCUUUUUUCCCAGAUUUUUGGUGAUUUCCCACAGUCGCCAAAAUAGAACUUUGCCUACAGUAGGUCCUGCAUCAAUAUUGAGGGAAUACCAACUAAUCUAUGUCCACUUUGUAGAACUAUUGCAAUGAAAUAAGAAUAUCUUUUUUUUUUUUUUUUUUUUUUUUGCCUUUUAGGGCCACACCCGUGGCAUAUGGAGGUUGCCAGGCUACAGCUGCUGGCCUACGCCAGAGCCACAGCAACACAGGAUCUGAGCCGAGUCUGCGACCUACACCACAGACCACGGCAACACUGGAUCCUUAACCCACUGAGCAAGGCCAGGCAUCGAACCUACAGCCUCAUGGUCCCCAGUCAGAUUCUUUUCCGCUGUGCACGACGGGGACUCCUUGGCCAAGUACUGUGUAAAGUAAAAUGUAAUGACAGUGAACCAAAGGAUAUUUUAUCUUCUCCAUAAAGAUAUUUUUCUGGAGAAGAUAAAAUAUCCAAAGGAGGUGAAAAACACGGAACACUAAUUAUAAAGUUUAUUUACAUCUAACUUAGCUUCAAGAUCAAGACGAUCAUCAAAGAAUGAGAUAUCCUAAAUGCUGGAGGUGCUGCGAAUUUGCAAAUCAUCAGUGAGAAUACAGACUAAGAUUUGAGGCGCAGAGAGAAGAGAAAAGAGGUCAGACUUACUGGAAAAGAAAUCAGAGCUGAGACCAGGCAGGAGGGAGAUUAUCAAUCAGGGAGGAUGCACUUUAUUCACAUAAAAGCCGAGUAACAAUUGUGGGAUAGAGCUGGAAGAAAUAGAAUAUAUGUGGGAGUCAAUGAAUAGGGUUCUGUGUAUUUUUAAGCCUUUCCUGGAUCCUGCAGUUCCAGUUUUAUAAAAGAAGGAGAGAUCUGGGCACUGGUCAUAAAAUAUAUUUUGCUUAAUCUUUCAUAUUAAUUCAAGGGAUCUUAGGUUUAGGUAGAUGAAAGAAAAAUAAAUUCAGGUAGUGGAACCUCCUGCAACAUUGCCAAGAUUUCUAAAAGGGUAUCUGCCCCUUAUAGGAAAUAAGGAGCAGAUUUUCCUCAUUGAAUAGUUUGAUCUCAUCCAGGUAAUGAUUUUUAAAAAUUUAAUUAAUUAAUUAGUUAAUUUUUCAUGUUUGGCCACCCCGUGGCAUAUGGAAUUCCCUGGCCAGGGAUCAGAUCCGAGCCACAGUCUUCACCCAAGUGGCAGCUGCUUCAAUACCAGAUCCUUAACCCACUGCGCAGGGGCCAGGAAUCGAAGCUGCAUCCCAGCGCUCCCAAGACGCCAACCGAUCCUGUUUUAAAGGUUUCAUUAUUUUUAUCUGUCACUUGUUUAGUCCUUUGCAUUGGCCAUAUGCUGUGUCAGGUACUUUACACACUGGAGCCUCUUUAUUCCUCAAAGCAAUCUCAUGAGGAGUUAUGAGCUCCAUUUUACAGAAGAGGAAACUGAGGCCUGGCUACCUCAAGGAAGAAACAUAAACAAGAAAGGAAAUAAAUCCAUUAUGAAACAAACCCUAUAGUUGAGCAGAAAUCCAGGGGACCCCUGCCUUUUGAGGCCUCUUUUCUGAUGGUCCCUCGUGGACAGCUUGGUCUGAGUGACUCCAGGCACAGGAGUUUGGAGCCUGGAAAGCCCAAGUGUCUGCUGUCAGGGUCCCAAGAGAAGAUGAGACUCAUCAGCCCUUGCUGAAGAAGCCACCAGUAAAACUUGCCAAGACAUCACAGGCACCUCUUGCGGUCACUCCCUGGAAACUGAACUCUUUUUGUCUAAAGUCACAACAGUAUUCAUGUGGACCUAAAGAUUUCUUAAAACGACUUUUAAUUCUCUUUAGGGUCAUGAUUCCACUUGGAAAUUUUUUUUUCUUUUUUUUUUUUCCUAGAAGGACCUGGUAUGUGGUAAUAUGUUUACAAAUGGGAUAAGGAAAAAAAGUAAAAUGAUGAAGAAAGCACUUUUAUAAAAAAGAUUGCCUCCGUGAGGCAGGUAAAAUGGCAUCUGAUAUUCCAUAUAUGAGAUAACGAUUUUGCGUCUUUUUGACUGAUUGUCUACAUGGAUUUUUAAACAAUCCUGGCCGCAGUACUGUGUUUACAGGCAGGAUUCUUGCCCUGUUCAAGUUUACUCUCUGUAUCUGUUUCUCUAAGAGAGUGAAUUUUUUACCAAGAGCCAAAUCAUAUCAGCUCUAUAAUGUAGAACAGCAAAUGAUCUGUCAGAUCUGCACUGAAAGUAUUUUUAAGGCCCAUAGGUAGCUAUUGAUAUAAAAUUCUUAUUGCAGUAACACCUUGCUGGCUAACCAGCACUGCUUUCUCCAGGGCUCCUUUCCAGAAACGCCACCUCAGGGCCCAGUGGCAUUCUGGGAAGCUAGGACGGGAGCUAUGCUAUCCUCAGAAAGCUAAGUUAUACCUGGCCUUUCAAGAUAUUCUAAAACCAUCAACGUGAGUGCUUAAAAAAAACCUCCAAAACCCACCUCUCAACGUUAAAGAUUGUAAUAACCCAUCAGAAAGACAGUUUUGCAACUACAGGAGUAGGAGGCAGGAAAUAGAAAUCCCUUUCUUGUGUUGUAGUUUUGGACUCAGGUUAUUAAAAGGAAACAGGCACUUAUAGCUUUUCACAGUGGAGAAGGCAAAGCAGGGAUGGCUGUAAACCUGACAUCUCUCCCAUCUGAAGUUGUCAGCUCAGAAACACUGCUGCCCAUUGAUCCCAAGCCAGAGCAGUGGUUUCUGGGGUUGUUCGAGGGGCUUUUUUUUGGCUGCCACUCUGACAGCAGUAGAAAGCCCAGAAAUGACAACAGAACAAUGGAAAAAAUCCCACCAUGUUUUUAUUAAUCAUUAAAAAGGAAAGCCUGUUCCCUGAUACCAGUUGGAAAAACCUACAGCAGGGUAGUCAAUCCCUUUGUUUCUUCCACUCAGACCAAACUGGGGACCCAAAGCCAUCAGGCAAGGGUGAGAUGGAUGAGAGGGGGGAAAUAGCCCUUCCAAAAGGUCAGAUUUUCCCAUUUUCUUAGAAAAACUACUGUCUUCCUAACUAGGGUGAAGUGCAUUAUUAUCAGAUAAAAGGUUAGUGUAGCAGCAUGUGCAGUGGAGCCACGAAGUAGUUUAUUAUUUGAUGGUGAUGAUUAAUACAAUAGAGUACAAUAAGUGAAUCAGUACUCAAUCCCUAUUCAGAAGAUUUUAUCAAGUGCUUUUUUCAAGCUUGCAUGAAAAUGCAAACGAUCGUUUACCUGAAAAUUUUCUCUCAUAUGUGUAUCUAGAAAGUGCAGGCUCUCAAGCAUCUUCUGGCUUAAAAAAAUAAGUAAAUAAAGUGAUGUUUCUUUUAUUUUUUCCUAUUUUUUUUUCUUUUUUAUCCCUAUUCUAGAAACUUCUAGGAUCACUCAGUGGGUUCAGGUUCCAGCAAGCUGUGGCAUAGGUCGAGGAUAUGGCUCAGAUCUGGCAAUCUGACAUUGCUGUGCCUGUGGCGGAGGCCUGCAGCUGCAGCUCGGAUUUGACCCCUAGCCUGGGAACUUCCACAUGU
RNAcentral lists this long non-coding RNA (5839 nucleotides) under Sus scrofa (pig). Its description in RNAcentral is "lncRNA (ENSSSCG00000056679.1)". The record is from RNAcentral. Lineage: Eukaryota; Metazoa; Chordata; Mammalia; Artiodactyla; Suidae.